Molecule: small RNA, 27 nt
Filed under: Bombyx mori (domestic silkworm)
Lineage: Eukaryota; Metazoa; Arthropoda; Insecta; Lepidoptera; Bombycidae
Description: ovarian small RNA-33808
Source: RNAcentral
UGCCGUCGAUGGUAAACAUGUUGGAAU